ACAAUACUUGUUCGAGCGAACAGUGGUAUGACGCUACGUCCGUUGGAUUAUGCCUGAACGCCUCUAAGGUCGUAUCCGUGCUGGACUGCAAUGAUAAAUAAGGGGCAAUUUGCAUUGUAUGGCUUCUAAACCAUUUAAAGUUUAUUAUUUAUAUUUUAAACGACAAUGGAUGUGAUGCCAAUGUAAUUUGUAACAUAGUAAAUUGGGAGGAUCUUUGAUCACCUGGUGCCAUGCUAGUUACAUAUGAAAACAUUAUUUAAUACAAUGACAAAGCCUAGAAUCAAUUGUAAACGACUUUUGUAACGGGCAAGGUGUUGUAAGUGGUUGAGCAGCUGCCAUACUGCGAUCCACUGAAGCUUAUCCUUUGCUUGAUGAUUCGA
This 380-nucleotide non-coding RNA is filed under the name Drosophila ananassae. Its description in RNAcentral is "Eukaryotic large subunit ribosomal RNA". It matches the Rfam family "Eukaryotic large subunit ribosomal RNA", at positions 3066 to 3401 of the family's 3401-position model. The record is from Rfam by way of RNAcentral. Lineage: Eukaryota; Metazoa; Arthropoda; Insecta; Diptera; Drosophilidae.